CCUACGGGAGGCAGCAGUAGGGAAUCUUCGUCAAUGGGCGCAAGCCUGAACGAGCGAUGCCGCGUGUGGGAAGACGGUCCUCUGGAUUGUAAACCACUGUCCCCAGGGACGAAGAUGACGGUACCUGGGGAGGAAGCUCCGGCUAACUACGUGCCAGCAGCCGCGGUAAUACGUAGGGAGCAAGCGUUGUCCGGAAUUACUGGGUGUAAAGGGAGCGUAGGCGGGAUGGCAAGUUGGGUGUUAAAUCUACCGGCUCAACUGGUAGUCGCACUCAAAACUGCUAUUCUUGAGUGAAGUAGAGGCAGGCGGAAUUCCUAGUGUAGCGGUGAAAUGCGUAGAUAUUAGGAGGAACACCAGUGGCGAAGGCGGCCUGCUGGGCUUUGACUGACGCUGAGGCUCGAAAGUGUGGGGAGCAAACAGGAUUAGAUACCCCGGUAGUC
Molecule: ribosomal RNA, 440 nt
Filed under: uncultured bacterium
Lineage: Bacteria
Description: partial 16S ribosomal RNA
Rfam family: Bacterial small subunit ribosomal RNA
Source: RNAcentral